UAAGGAAUCUUCCACAAUGGACGAAAGUCUGAUGGAGCAACGCCGCGUGCAGGAUGACGGUCUUCGGAUUGUAAACUGCUUUUAUAUGGGAAGAUUAUGACGGUACCAUAUGAAUAAGGACCGGCUAACUACGUGCCAGCAGCCGCGGUAAUACGUAGGGUCCAAGCGUUAUCCGGAAUCACUGGGCGUAAAGCGUGCGUAGGUGGCGUGUUAAGUGAGAUGUUAAAUCGUGUGGCUCAACCAUAUCGAUGCAUCUCAUACUGGCAUGCUAGAGGACAGCAGAGGCAAGUGGAAUUACUAGUGUAGCAGUGAAAUGCGUAGAUAUUAGUAGGAACACCAAUGGCGAAGGCAGCUUGCUGGGCUACUCCUGACACUGAGGUACGAAAGCGUGGGGAGCGAACAGGAUUAGAUACCCCCGUAGUCC
Molecule: ribosomal RNA, 424 nt
Filed under: uncultured bacterium
Lineage: Bacteria
Description: bacterial SSU rRNA
Rfam family: Bacterial small subunit ribosomal RNA
Source: RNAcentral